RNAcentral lists this ribosomal RNA (116 nucleotides) under Lepisosteus oculatus (spotted gar). Lineage: Eukaryota; Metazoa; Chordata; Actinopteri; Semionotiformes; Lepisosteidae. The record is from RNAcentral.
GCCAGCAGCCAUAUCACCCUGCAGCUCUCAACUGUCUCCCACUGAAGCUCAGCGGGGUUGAGCCUGGUCAGUACCUGGAUGAGAGACCUCCUGGGAAUCUAUGGUUGCUGCUGGAA